CUAUCCCUACGGGGCGCAGCAGUGAGGAAUAUUGGUCAAUGGUCGGGAGACUGAACCAGCCACGCCGCGUGAGGGAGGAAGGUACAGAGUAUCGUAAACCUCUUUUGUCAGGGAACAAAGGCGGGGACGUGUCCCCGGAUGAGUGUACCUGAAGAAAAAGCAUCGGCUAACUCCGUGCCAGCAGCCGCGGUAAUACGGAGGAUGCGAGCGUUAUCCGGAUUUAUUGGGUUUAAAGGGUGCGCAGGCGGUCUGUUAAGUCAGCGGUCAAAGCCCGGGGCUCAACCCCGGCCCGCCGCUGAAACUGC
This 305-nucleotide ribosomal RNA is filed under the name uncultured bacterium. Its description in RNAcentral is "bacterial SSU rRNA". It matches the Rfam family "Bacterial small subunit ribosomal RNA", at positions 333 to 636 of the family's 1533-position model. The record is from RNAcentral.